Molecule: ribosomal RNA, 429 nt
Filed under: uncultured archaeon
Lineage: Archaea
Description: bacterial SSU rRNA
Rfam family: Archaeal small subunit ribosomal RNA
Source: RNAcentral
UACCUGCAGCUCAAGUAGUGACCGCUAUUAUUGGGCCUAAAACGUUCGUAGCCGGUUUGGUAAAUGCCUGGGUAAAUAGUGUAGCUUAACUAUACGAAUUCCGGGUAGACUGCCAAACUUGAGACCGGGAGAGGCUAGAGGUACUCCUGGGGUAGAGGUGAAAUUCUGUAAUCCUGAGGGGACCACCAGUGGCGAAGGCGUCUAGCUAGAACGGGUCUGACGGUGAGGGACGAAGCCCUGGGGCGCAAACCGGAUUAGAUACCCGGGUAGUCCAGGGUGUAAACGCUGCUUGCUUGAUGUUAGUUGGGCUCCGAGCCCAAUUAGUGUCGGAGAGAAGUUGUUAAGCAAGCUGCCUGGGAAGUACGAUCGCAAGAUUGAGACUUAAAGGAAUUGGCGGGGGAGCACAGCAACGGGUGGAGCGUGCGGUUU